Molecule: long non-coding RNA, 1141 nt
Filed under: Arachis ipaensis
Lineage: Eukaryota; Viridiplantae; Streptophyta; Magnoliopsida; Fabales; Fabaceae
Description: long non-coding RNA (AIPA_LNC001752)
Source: RNAcentral
CCCACCCCCUUUCUUCCUAAACCUAACGCUGAAACGGAAUCAGACAGGGAGAGAGGGAGGAAAUCAGAGUGUGAUCUAAGCAGCCACCGUUCAGUCACCAGAGCCACCGCUGGGGUCCUUCGCCGUCACUAUCGUCGCCAUCCACGCGAGAUGCAGCGCUGCGAAGUCCAGCCAUCGUGACCUUCGUGGAGCCCGCGUCGCUGUCGCCUCGGCUGUUCCCAAUGCCGCUGGGUCUGUCGCGCGUCGUUGUCUGAGGAGCCACUGCCGCCGUUGCUCGUUGUCUCCCUUAGGGCUGUCACCGUCGCUAGAGCCAGCCGCCUUCGUCGCCGUUCAUCCUUGUCGUCGUCUUCGCCGCUCUGUGGAGGCCGUAGAGAGGAACGCGAACCAGGAGCCAUAGCGCCGCCGCCGCCGAUCUGUCACCGUGCUGCUGCGUCGCCGUUGAUGAAGUUUUUGCCACCGCCGUGAACUGCGAACAGAGGAGAACGAGAGAGGAGGCGAUGAAUGAAGCCGUCACUGAAGUUGUGGCCGUCGUUGCCAGAGGCAUGGAGGAAGGGAGGUAGAACCGCGAGAUAGAAAAGCCACUGUGACUGUCGUUGCUGCCAUGAGUGUGGUCCACCGUCGAGCUGCACACUGCCAUUGGCGUCAGAAACCACCUUUAGAACCACUACUGCUUUGGUGAGCUCUGUCUCCUGUUUUUGCUUCUUUGUCCUACCAAUUUGUUCCUACUUUGAAGCUUGUCCCUGAAACUGUUUGUAUUGUAUAAAGAGAUUAUCGUAAAUUACAUCACCGCCGCCGUUACUAGAGGUAGCUGCCAGCUCUAUUUGGAGACAGCCGCUAAGUCACCACCGAAGCUAAGAACAGGUGCUGGGAUUCGAUGGAGCACCGCUGCUGCUGUGAAUUUGUAAUAUUUGGUUUACCGCGUCUAAAUUCUUCAAUUAUGGCUAAUUGAGGUAGGGGAUUUAACGUUUUUAAUUUAGAAUGCCUACAAAGUUAUUUGGAUAAGUGCAAAUGGUUAACAAUGGUUAAGAAUUUCUUAAUUGACAUGAAUGACUUGAAAUGCUUUUGAAAUUAGUUAGUUAGUUGUGAUUAUUCUGAGCUGUGAGUGGAAUUAGAUGCCGUUGUGAACAAUUAAUUUGAAAAG